RNAcentral lists this ribosomal RNA (430 nucleotides) under Bacteroidota bacterium. RNAcentral's name for it is "Bacteroidetes bacterium partial 16S ribosomal RNA". It matches the Rfam family "Bacterial small subunit ribosomal RNA", at positions 355 to 776 of the family's 1533-position model. Lineage: Bacteria; Pseudomonadati; Bacteroidota. The record is from RNAcentral.
UAGGGAAUCUUCGGCAAUGGGGGGAACCCUGACCGAGCAACGCCGCGUGAGUGAAGAAGGUUUUCGGAUCGUAAAGCUCUGUUGUUAAGGAAGAACGAGUGUGAGAAUGGAAAGUUCAUACUGUGACGGUACUUAACCAGAAAGGGACGGCUAACUACGUGCCAGCAGCCGCGGUAAUACGUAGGUCCCGAGCGUUGUCCGGAUUUAUUGGGCGUAAAGCGAGCGCAGGCGGUCAAUUAAGUCUGAUGUGAAAGCCCCCGGCUCAACCGGGGAGGGUCAUUGGAAACUGGUUGACUGGAGUGCAGAAGAGGAGAGUGGAAUUCCAUGUGUAGCGGUGAAAUGCGUAGAUAUAUGGAGGAACACCAGUGGCGAAGGCGACUCUCUGGUCUGUAACUGACGCUGAGGCUCGAAAGCGUGGGUAGCAAACAGG